CGACGGGUACCGGGACUGAGAGGUUGACCCGGCGCAUCGGGACUGAGACACUGCCCGGACUCCUACGGGAGGCUGCAGUAACGAAUAUUGGUCAAUGGGCGAAAGCCUGAACCAGCGACGCCGCGUGUGGGAGGAAGCCCUUCGGGGUGUAAACCACUGUCAGGGAUUACCAAGCAAUGGAGGCUAAUACCCUCCUGCGUUGAGGCGUCCCAGAGGAAGUCACGGCUAACUUCGUGCCAGCAGCCGCGGUAAUACGAAGGUGGCGAGCGUUGUUCGGAAUCACUGGGCUUAAAGAGCACGUAGGCGGACUGCCAAGCGUCUUGUGAAAUCCCCCGGCUCAACCGGGGAAUUGCUGGGCGAACUGGUAGUCUUGAGGCAAGUAGGGGCAGAUGGAACUCUUGGUGGAGCGGUGGAAUGCGUAGAUAUCAAGAGGAACGCCAGAGGCGAAGGCGAUCUGCUGGGCUUGACCUGACGCUGAGGUGCGAAAGCCAGGGGAGCAAACGGGAUUAGAUACCCCGGUAGUCCUGGCCAUAAACGAUGUCCACUAGAUCGGUGAACUUCUGACAGUGUGCCGGUCGAAACAAAAGCGUUAAGUGGACCGCCUGGGGAGUACGGUCGCAAGGCUAAAACUCAAAGGAAUUGACGGGGGCUCACACAAGCGGUGGAGCAUGUUGCUUAAUUCGAUGCAACGCGAAGAACCUUAUCCUGGGCUUGACAUGCUUGGAUGCCCAUCUGGAAACAGAGUAGGCUGCCCUUCGGGGUGAAACUUGCACAGGUGCUGCAUGGCUGUCGUCAGCUCGUGUCGUGAGAUGUUGGGUUAAGUCCCGUAACGAGCGAAACCCUUGUCGUUAGUUGCCAGCGCGUAAUGGCGGGGACUCUAGCGAGACUGCCGGUGUUAAACCGGAGGAAGGUGGGGAUGACGUCAAGUCCUCAUGGCCUUUAUGCCCAGGGCUGCAAACGUGCUACAAUGGCGAGGACAAACCGACGCAAAGCCGCGAGGUCGAGCAAAUCGGAGAAACCUUGCCCCAGUUCGGAUUGGAGUCUGCAACUCGACUCCAUGAAGUCGGAAUCGCUAGUAAUCGCGUAUCAGCGUGACGCGGUGAAUAUGUUCCUGAGCAUUGUACACACCGCCCGUCAAGUCAUGGAAGCUGGGAGCGCCCGAAGUCGGGGUAUU
RNAcentral lists this ribosomal RNA (1174 nucleotides) under uncultured organism. Its description in RNAcentral is "bacterial SSU rRNA". It matches the Rfam family "Bacterial small subunit ribosomal RNA", at positions 277 to 1436 of the family's 1533-position model. The record is from RNAcentral.